Molecule: transfer RNA, 73 nt
Filed under: Ovis aries (sheep)
Lineage: Eukaryota; Metazoa; Chordata; Mammalia; Artiodactyla; Bovidae
Rfam family: tRNA
About the family: Transfer RNA (tRNA) molecules are approximately 80 nucleotides in length. Their secondary structure includes four short double-helical elements and three loops (D, anti-codon, and T loops).
Source: Rfam by way of RNAcentral
UCCCUGAUGGUCUAGUGGUUAAGACUCUGAGCUUCCAACGCAAGGGAUGCAGGUUCAAACCCUGGUCAGGGAA